UACAGAGGGAGCAAGCGUUAAUCUGAAUUACUGGGCGUAAAGCGCACGUAGGCGGUUGUUUAAGUUGGAUGUGAAAGCCCCGGGCUCAACCUGGGAAUUGCAUUCAAAACUGGACAGCUAGAGGGUGUGAGAGGGGGGUAGAAUUCCAAGUGUAGCGGUGAAAUGCGUAUAGAUCUGGAGGAAUACCAGUGUCGAAGGCGGCCCCCUGGCACAACACUGACGCUCAGUUGCGAAAGCGUGGGGAGCAAACAGG
RNAcentral lists this ribosomal RNA (253 nucleotides) under uncultured bacterium. RNAcentral's name for it is "partial 16S ribosomal RNA". It matches the Rfam family "Bacterial small subunit ribosomal RNA", at positions 524 to 776 of the family's 1533-position model. The record is from RNAcentral.